This 666-nucleotide unclassified non-coding RNA is filed under the name Hevea brasiliensis (rubber tree). Lineage: Eukaryota; Viridiplantae; Streptophyta; Magnoliopsida; Malpighiales; Euphorbiaceae. The record is from RNAcentral.
CAAGAGGAGAACCAGAUUUUGACAACUUCACUGAUAUAACUUUAAUUGUUCCUUUGGCAGACGAGUUUGGAUCUGAAGCAAUUAGAGAUGCCAAUGAGUCAAGACAUUUCUGGUUGAGUAAAUCCCAUAUAUAUAACAAUCCCUUCCUUGUUACCAGUAACAACUUCCAGCACUCAUCACAAUCUAUAAAGGUUGCUGCAGAUCCCAUCAUCAUAGUUGGCAUGGCACGCCUCCCACACUUUGUGUAAACCUGCAGACAUCCAUCUUCGCACCCAACAGCCCAGAAGUUCGCAUUUCCAGCCAAAACUGUGACUUUUCCAGAGAUCCUAUCAGACCAAAGAUUUUGAGCCCCUCUUGUGCAAACAAUUUCUGUUUCUUUCAUCAUACAGGUAUUUCCCACUCCAAUAAUGUCAUUUACAGUAUGCUCUCUAGGACGAGCUUCCAAACAAAUUGGUACAGUAUCUUCCCCUACUUUCUUAUCAAAUACCCUAAUAGAAAGAGAUGUAGUAUAAGCACUGGAGGAACUGGAUGCCUUCACACUUCCAGACUGCUCCACAUUGAUGCUACCAUCUCCUCCUGAAGAGCCCAGAACCUUCUCAAUGACCAAGCUCUCCGUAAUGGUAGCCCUAGCAGUGACCCCAGAUCGAUCUUUUGAAUCAGAGCUUC